UACGGGAGGCAGCAGUGGGGAAUAUUGGACAAUGGGGGGAACCCUGAUCCAGCGACGCCGCGUGAACGAUGAAGUAUUUCGGUAUGUAAAGUUCUAUCAGCAGGGAAGAUAAUGACGGUACCUGACUAAGAAGCACCGGCUAAAUACGUGCCAGCAGCCACGGUAAU
RNAcentral lists this ribosomal RNA (167 nucleotides) under uncultured rumen bacterium. RNAcentral describes it as "partial 16S ribosomal RNA". It matches the Rfam family "Bacterial small subunit ribosomal RNA", at positions 340 to 524 of the family's 1533-position model. The record is from RNAcentral.